RNAcentral lists this transfer RNA (66 nucleotides) under Eurytrema pancreaticum. RNAcentral's name for it is "tRNA-His". Lineage: Eukaryota; Metazoa; Platyhelminthes; Trematoda; Plagiorchiida; Dicrocoeliidae. The record is from RNAcentral.
UCCUUUCUAGGUUAAGUUUUUAAACUAUUGGUUUGUGGUGCCGGACAUCUGUAUUUAUUGUGGGAA